Long non-coding RNA from Phyllostomus discolor (pale spear-nosed bat), 592 nucleotides. RefSeq lists it as uncharacterized. The record is from RefSeq and is a predicted model, not a curated record. NCBI's taxonomy places the organism in Eukaryota, Metazoa, Chordata, Mammalia, Chiroptera, Phyllostomidae. The transcript is spliced from 3 exons.
ACAGAAGUAAAGCUGGAUACCCCACCCAAGCUAUUCCCAGGAUACACACUAUUUAAGCAGAUCAGCUAGCUGGAUCUACUCUGGUAUUUAACUUAUUCUUCCCUCUGAGUGUUUUUGACCCUUAAUUUAAUUUCUCCUAAGGUCAAUGCCCUGUGAUGCAAUUGUAUUUCUGAUUGUCAAUAUAGAUUAUUUUAUGCCCUGGAUUCAAGACAAAAGAGGCAACUCCUCAUAUGCUUGUACCAGGAUCUCCUUUGAACACAGUAUGUACAAAGUAUUUGCCUGAGGAUUGAGUAUAUUCUUUAGAGAUCUUCAGACAGUGAACAUUGUCAAGGCAGAUCAACGUAUGCACCUUGAACUAGAGUGGGACCACGUCCUUUCUUGUAAUGAUGAGUCUUGUUAUGUCACUGGUGAUGAGUUAUUUCACCAGAGACUGGCACAUAAGGAAUGGAUAAAAUAUGACUAUGACAGUGGAACAUUUUUGUCUUUGGUAAAAGCAAUGUCAUUAUGAAAGCAAUGGGCUAACCCGAAUUGAUAGGAGCCAGUGAAGCUAUAAAUCAGCCCUUAGACAAAAAGUUCAUCUUACAUAAAAGUA